GGAAGGAUCAUUACCUAGAGUUGUAGGCUUUGCCUGCUAUCUCUUACCCAUGUCUUUUGAGUACCUUACGUUUCCUCGGUGGGUUCGCCCACCGAUUGGACAAAUUUAAACCCUUUGCAGUUGAAAUCAGCGUCUGAAAAAACUUAAUAGUUACAACUUUCAACAACGGAUCUCUUGGUUCUGGCAUCGAUGAAGAACGCAGCGAAAUGCGAUAAGUAGUGUGAAUUGCAGAAUUCAGUGAAUCAUCGAAUCUUUGAACGCACAUUGCGCCCCUUGGUAUUCCAUGGGGCAUGCCUGUUCGAGCGUCAUUUGUACCUUCAAGCUCUGCUUGGUGUUGGGUGUUUGUCUCCUGUAGACUCGCCUUAAAACAAUUGGCAGCCGGCGUAUUGAUUUCGGAGCGCAGUACAUCUCGCGCUUUGCACUCAUAACGACGACAUCCAAAAGUACAUUUUUACACUCUUGACCUCGGAUCAGGUAGGGAUACCCGCUGAACUUAAGCAUAUCAAUAAGCGGAGGAAAAGAAACCAACAGGGAUUGCCCUAGUAACGGCGAGUGAAGCGGCAACAGCUCAAAUUUGAAAUCUGGCGUCUUCGGCGUCCGAGUUGUAAUUUGCAGAGGGCGCUUUGGCAUUGGCAGCGGUCCAAGUUCCUUGGAACAGGACGUCACAGAGGGUGAGAAUCCCGUACGUGGUCGCUAGCCUUUACCGUGUAAAGCCCCUUCGACGAGUCGAGUUGUUUGGGAAUGCAGCUCUAAAUGGGAGGUAAAUUUCUUCUAAAGCUAAAUACUGGCCAGAGACCGAUAGCGCACAAGUAGAGUGAUCGAAAGAUGAAAAGCACUUUGGAAAGAGAGUUAAAAAGCACGUGAAAUUGUUGAAAGGGAAGCGCUUGCAGCCAGACUUGCCUGUAGUUGCUCAUCCGGGUUUUUACCCGGUGCACUCUUCUACGGGCAGGCCAGCAUCAGUUUGGGCGGUUGGAUAAAGGUCUCUGUCAUGUACCUCCUCUCGGGGAGAACUUAUAGGGGAGACGACAUGCAACCAGCCCGGACUGAGGUCCGCGCAUCUGCUAGGAUGCUGGCGUAAUGGCUGUAAGCGGCCCGUCUUGAAACACGGACCAAGGAGUCUAACAUCUAUGCGAGUGUUUGGGUGUCAAGCCCGAGCGCGUAAUGAAAGUGAACGGAGGUGGGAACCUUUCGGGGUGCACCAUCGACCGAUCCUGAUGUCUUCGGAUGGAUUUGAGUAAGAGCAUAGCUGUUGGGACCCGAAAGAUGGUGAACUAUGCUUGAAUAGGGUGAAGCCAGAGGAAACUCUGGUGGAGGCUCGCAGCGGUUCUGACGUGCAAAUCGAUCGUCAAAUUUGGGCAUAGGGGCGAAAGACUAAUCGAACUAUCUAGUAGCUGGUUCCUGC
RNAcentral lists this unclassified non-coding RNA (1402 nucleotides) under uncultured Pleosporales. RNAcentral describes it as "sequence contains 18S rRNA gene, ITS1, 5.8S rRNA gene, ITS2, 28S rRNA gene". The stretch from base 461 to 1402 matches the Rfam family "Eukaryotic large subunit ribosomal RNA", at positions 1 to 961 of the family's 3401-position model. Lineage: Eukaryota; Fungi; Ascomycota; Dothideomycetes; Pleosporales. The record is from RNAcentral.